GCUACUAUCGAUUGAGCGGUUCAGUGAGGGCCUCGGAUUGGUCUCGGUCUGGCGCUCGCGCGUCGGCACCGUUGGCCGAGAAGACGCUCGAACUCGAUCGCUUGGAGAAAGUAAAAGUCGUAACAAGGUUUCCGUAGGUG
RNAcentral lists this ribosomal RNA (140 nucleotides) under Lurifax vitreus. RNAcentral's name for it is "partial small subunit ribosomal RNA". It matches the Rfam family "Eukaryotic small subunit ribosomal RNA", at positions 1678 to 1811 of the family's 1831-position model. The record is from RNAcentral. Lineage: Eukaryota; Metazoa; Mollusca; Gastropoda; Orbitestellidae.